This 253-nucleotide ribosomal RNA is filed under the name uncultured bacterium. RNAcentral describes it as "partial 16S ribosomal RNA". It matches the Rfam family "Bacterial small subunit ribosomal RNA", at positions 524 to 776 of the family's 1533-position model. The record is from RNAcentral.
UACGGGGGGGGCAAGCGUUGUUCGGAAUCACUGGGCAUAAAGCGCACGUAGGCGGUGUCGUAAGUCGGAUGUGAAAUCCCUCGGCCUAACCGAGGAACUGCGUCCGAUACUGCGAUGCUUGAGGGCCAGAGGGGUGCAUGGAAUUUCCGGUGGAGCGGUGAAAUGCGUUGAUAUCGGAAGGAACUCCGGCGGCGAAAGCGAUGCACUGGCUGGUUUCUGACGCUGAGGUGCGAAAGCCAGGGGAGCAAACGGG